GGCGAGGGUAGCACAGUAGGUUAGUGUGUUUGUUUGUGGAGCAAGAGGUCACGGGUUCGAGUCCCGUUCUUCGCC
This 75-nucleotide transfer RNA is filed under the name Labyrinthula sp. RNAcentral's name for it is "tRNA-His". It matches the Rfam family "tRNA". From Rfam's summary of the family: Transfer RNA (tRNA) molecules are approximately 80 nucleotides in length. Lineage: Eukaryota; Bigyra; Labyrinthulida; Labyrinthulaceae. The record is from RNAcentral.